GACGAACGCUGGCGGCGUGCUUAACACAUGCAAGUCGAACGAGACGAUUGAAAGCUUGCUUUCGAAAGUCGAGUGGCAAACGGGUGAGUAACGCGUAGACAACCUGCCUUUGAGAUGGGGACAACAGUUCGAAAGGACUGCUAAUACCGAAUGUUGUAUAUUUUCCACAUGGAAGAUAUAUUAAAGAUGGCCUCUAUUUAUAAGCUAUCGCUCAAAGAUGGGUCUGCGUCUGAUUAGCUAGUUGGUGGGGUAACGGCCUACCAAGGCGACGAUCAGUAGCCGGUCUGAGAGGAUGAACGGCCACAUUGGGACUGAGACACGGCCCAGACUCCUACGGGAGGCAGCAGUGGGGAAUCUUCCACAAUGGACGAAAGUCUGAUGGAGCAACGCCGCGUGAGUGAAGAAGGGUUUCGGCUCGUAAAGCUCUGUUGUCGGGGACGAAUGUGCAGUAUUUGAAUAAAGUACUGUAAUGACGGUACCUGACGAGGAAGCCACGGCUAACUACGUGCCAGCCGCCGCGGUAA
Molecule: ribosomal RNA, 524 nt
Filed under: uncultured bacterium
Lineage: Bacteria
Description: partial 16S ribosomal RNA
Rfam family: Bacterial small subunit ribosomal RNA
Source: RNAcentral